RNAcentral lists this ribosomal RNA (249 nucleotides) under uncultured bacterium. RNAcentral's name for it is "partial 16S ribosomal RNA". It matches the Rfam family "Bacterial small subunit ribosomal RNA", at positions 107 to 354 of the family's 1533-position model. The record is from RNAcentral.
UGAGUAACACGUAUGCAACCUGCCUGCCACAGCCGGAUAAUCGGGAGAAAUUCCGUCUAAUACGGCAUAAUGCAUCGACGGGACAUCCUGUUGGUGCCAAAGGUUGAUUCCGGUGGCGGAUGGGCAUGCGUCGCAUUAGUUAGUUGGCGGUGUAACGGACCACCAAGACGACGAUGCGUAGGGGUUCUGAGAGGAAGGUCCCCCGCACUGGUACUGAGACACGGACCAGACUCCUACGGAAGGCAGCAG